Solea senegalensis (Senegalese sole) is the source of this 295-nucleotide long non-coding RNA. RefSeq lists it as uncharacterized. Lineage: Eukaryota; Metazoa; Chordata; Actinopteri; Pleuronectiformes; Soleidae. The transcript has 3 exons. The record is from RefSeq and is a predicted model, not a curated record.
UGUCGUAAAGUAGUGACGCAUUGACGCUAAAGAUGGCGUCGGAUUCAAACCGAUCCGCAUCUAAUGUGAAAGCUUACUAGACUCUGCUGAGAGGCGGAGAUGCAGACUGAGCCGGCGGAGCAGAGGAGACAUUCUAGCCGGGGACGGCGAGGGGAGAGCGGGCACAGUCGAGCAGAGCGGCGGGGGAAACAGCCGAUGACCGCGGUCACUUCUGUCAGGAGCUCCGAGGAGGAGACGACAAGGUUCAAGGAACUCUUCAGCGUCGUGAAACAGAAACAGGAGGGAGAAGGAGGAG